CUCCAUACAAUAAGCGGAGGAAAAGAAACUAACAAGGAUUCCCCUAGUAACUGCGAGUGAAGCGGGAAAAGCUCAAAUUUAAAAUCUGGCGGUCUAUGGCUGUCCGAGUUGUAAUCUAGAGAAGUGAUGCCCGCGCUGGACCGUGUACAAGUCUCCUGGAAUGGAGCGUCAUAGAGGGUGAGAAUCCCGUCUCUGACACGGACUACCAGGGCUUUGUGGUAUGCUCUCAAAGAGUCGAGUUGUUUGGGAAUGCAGCUCUAAAUGGGUGGUAAAUUCCAUCUAAAGCUAAAUAUUGGCGAGAGACCGAUAGCGAACAAGUACCGUGAGGGAAAGAUGAAAAGAACUUUGGAAAGAGAGUUAAACAGUACGUGAAAUUGCUGAAAGGGAAACGCUUGAAGUCAGUCGCGUUAGCUAGGACUCAGCCUCGCUCUUGCGUGGUGUACUUUCUGGUUGACGGGUCAGCAUCAAUUUUGGCUGCUGGAAAAAGGUCUUGGGAAUGUGGCAGCUUCGGCUGUGUUAUAGCCCUUGGUCACAUACAGCGGUUGGGAUUGAGGAACUCAGCACGCCGCAAGGCCGGGUUUCGACCACGUUCGUGCUUAGGAUGCUGGCAUAAUGGCUUUAAGCGACCCGUCUUGAAACACGGACCAAGGAGUCUAACAUGCCUGCGAGUGUUUGGGUGGUAAACCCGAGCGCGUAAUGAAAGUGAAAGUUGAGAUCCCUGUCGUGGGGAGCAUCGACGCCCGGACUUGAACUUUUGUGACGGAUCCGCGGUAGAGCAUGUAUGUUGGGACCCGAAAGAUGGUGAACUAUGCCUGAAUAGGGUGAAGCCAGAGGAAACUCUGGUGGAGGCUCGUAGCGAUUCUGACGUGCAAAUCGAUCGUCAAAUUUGGGUAUAGGGGCGAAAGACUAAUCGAACCAUCUAGUAGCUGGUCUGUCGUUGCUCUCUUUUCUCGUUUCCCGCGGGGGACGGGGGCCCACCGUCUCUCCAUCUCGCACUCCUCAGCGGCACGCUACU
This 1015-nucleotide ribosomal RNA is filed under the name Lycoperdon perlatum. Its description in RNAcentral is "partial large subunit ribosomal RNA". It matches the Rfam family "Eukaryotic large subunit ribosomal RNA", at positions 33 to 1396 of the family's 3401-position model. The record is from RNAcentral. Lineage: Eukaryota; Fungi; Basidiomycota; Agaricomycetes; Agaricales; Lycoperdaceae.